UGGGGAGAGAAUGCCAUGGUGAGCGAUCAGAACCUCACUCAAACAUGCUAUACUGUAUUCUCCCUGCACUUCUGCGUAACCUUUAACUCCUUCAUGAUCUGUUUAAUCACAGGGCUUUCAUACUUCGGUGUCCCCGCGUGGGUUUGAAUGUGGAUUCAACCCAGAGAGCACCAUCAAGAAGGAGGAGGAGCCGGGGUCACUGCCUCUGUCUCUCACUGUUUCUGACUACCUCACUCCGUCCUGGUCUCUGUCUCCCUCCUCGUCUCCGCUCUCUCACUCCGAGGCCAGCGACUCCGACCGAGAGGAGGACGAGGAGGAGGAAGAGGACGACGAUGAUGACGACGACGACGAAGAGGACCUGGAGGAUCUGCGGGGACGCAUGAUGAGACGCCGCAAGAAACGGAAAACCUCGGCGACCGUCAAGAAGAAAGCCCAGCCCCACCCCCUGUCCUUCACAUGCCCCGCCCCUUCCUCGCCACCGCCCUUCCAGCAGCCUCUAGCCCCGCCCACGACGAACAUAAACAAUAAUAUAAACAUAAACAUCGGCGCGAGCGGCACGCUCUCCCGCAGANCAGCAGCCCGAGGUCCGAGCCGCCAUGGAGCUGUCGCACCCCCCCAAUCAAGACGCCUCCUCGCACCCCUUCUCCUCUCCCCCUCAGCCCUCGGCCGUCCUGGGAACCACCUCCCUGUUCUCCCGCGAGCGAGACGCUUUGUCUUCGCCUCCCAAAUCGGCAGGAGUCUCUUUCUCGCUCUCGCUGUCUCCUCCCCCCGCCUCCAGCUCCUCAAAGAAGAGCUCCGCGAUGAAUGUGACGCCUAGGAAGGGCACUAGGAAGAGCCCCGGCGUCUCGCCCAACCCUCCCGCCCGGAGGGGACGGCCGCCGAAGAAGCAGAAAGAACUGCAGCUGAAGAAGCAGGAGGAGGCAGAGCGGGCGAAAGAGGAGGCGCCUGGGAAACAGGAGGAGAAUGAAGACGAGGAGGACUUCGACGCAAGCACAGAGCAGAAGAACGGAGAGAUGGCGAGCUCUGGACGCUCUCACAUGCCUCCUCUGCUGUCGUCCCUCUCCACGCUGGUGCUGUAUCUCCGGCGGCAGCAGCACGCCUCGUUCCUGUCGCUGUCCCGCGCUCCGGCGGCGGCUGAGGCCUGGCGUCUGCUCUGCCACUCCAGCCUGGCUCUGCUGAUCCUCUACAACCGGCACCGCGAGUGUGAGGUGGCCAAGCUCACGGUGCAGGACUACCGCAGCCGCGCCGCGCCCUCCUCUCCCUCGCUGGAGGCGUCGCUGUCCCCGUUCGAGCGCGCCGUGCUCUGUCUGCUGCCGCGUGUGGGUGUCCUGGGCAAACGUGGCCGGCUCCAGCCGCUCAUCCUUCCUCCGCACUCAGAGGCGUGUCUGGAUCUGCUCCUGAAGACGUCUGCAGACGUGGGUGUGGAUCCCCAGAGCCCCUAUGUGUUCUCCCGGCCGUAUCACUCCCCGGCCACGCCGCUGCGCGGGACAGACCUGCUGCGGAGCCUGGCGCGCUCUAGCGGUGCUAAGAACCCCGCGGCGCUCACCGCUCCCCGCGCACGCCGACAGGUGGCCAUCCUGACCCAGCUGCUGCUGCUGGAGGAGGGCGAGCGCACGCCGGGCGCAGCCACGAGACGCCUGGAGGACUUCCUGCAGAGCGAGUAUCACGUGACUCAGAGCUGCGCUCGGAUUGGUCAGGACGCGGCGCUGAUGAACCGCGUGGGGAGAGUCGUUCUGUACGGAGAGAGAGAGGGAGUGCUGUUCAGAGGAAUGAGCCUGCAGCACAUCUGCCUCGAGCUGGACGGUACACACACACUCCUGCUCACCGAGACUGCACUUAUCCGAUCAAAAAUACAGGAAAAACAGUGAAAUAUUAUUCUAAUGUAAAGCAGCUGUGUUCUAUGUGAAUCUCUGUUAAAGUGUAAUUUAUUUCUGUGAUGCGCAGCUGUAUUUUCAGCAUCAUUACUCCAGUCUUCAGUGUCACAUGAUCUUCAGAAAUCAUUCUAAUAUGAUGAUUUACUGCUCAAGAAACAUUUCUGAUUAUUAUCAAUGUUGAAAACAGUUGUGCUGCACAAUAUUUUUGUGUAAACUGUGAUACAUUUUAUUUUUCAGGAUUCACAGAUGAACAGAAAGUUCAAAAGAACAGCAUUUAUUUGAAAUAGAGAUCUUUUGUCACAUUAUAAAUGCCUUUACUAUCACUUUUGAUCAAUUUAAUGCGUCCUUGAUUAAUGAAAGUAUAAAUAAAAAAAGAAAAAUCAUCA
Molecule: long non-coding RNA, 2260 nt
Organism: Cyprinus carpio (common carp)
Lineage: Eukaryota; Metazoa; Chordata; Actinopteri; Cypriniformes; Cyprinidae
Source: Ensembl